CGUGUAGGCGGUCACUUAAGUCUGGUGUGAAAUCCCGGGGCUCAACCCCGGAAGUGCAUUGGAUACUGGGUGGCUAGAGGACGAGAGAGGGAAGCGGAAUUCCUGGUGUAGGGGUGAAAUCCGUAGAUAUCAGGAGGAACAUCGGUGGCGAAGGCGGCUUCCUGGCUCGUACCUGACGCUGAGACGCGAAAGCGUGGGUAGCAAACA
RNAcentral lists this ribosomal RNA (207 nucleotides) under uncultured bacterium. RNAcentral describes it as "partial 16S ribosomal RNA". It matches the Rfam family "Bacterial small subunit ribosomal RNA", at positions 568 to 774 of the family's 1533-position model. The record is from RNAcentral.